GCUGGGUGUGGUGGUGUACACCUGUAGUCCUAGUUACUUGGGAGGCUGAGGUGGGAGGAUCACUUGAGCCCAGAAGUUCAAGGCUGCAAUGAGCUAAAAUUGCAGUACUGCACUCCAGCCUGGGCAACAGAGUGAGACCCCAACUCAA
RNAcentral lists this non-coding RNA (148 nucleotides) under Nomascus leucogenys (northern white-cheeked gibbon). The record is from Rfam by way of RNAcentral. Lineage: Eukaryota; Metazoa; Chordata; Mammalia; Primates; Hylobatidae.